AUUGAACGCUGGCGGAAUGCUUUACACAUGCAAGUCGAACGGCAGCACGGACUUCGGUCUGGUGGCGAGUGGCGAACGGGUGAGUAAUGUAUCGGAACGUGCCCAGUCGUGGGGGAUAACGUAGUGAAAAUUACGCUAAUACCGCAUACGAUCUAUGGAUGAAAGCGGGGGAUCGCAAGACCUCGCGCGAUUGGAGCGGCCGAUAUCAGAUUAGGUAGUUGGUGGGGUAAAGGCCCACCAAGCCAACGAUCUGUAGCUGGUCUGAGCGGACGACCAGCAACACGGGAACUGAGACGCGGUCCAGACUCCGACGGGAGGCAUCAGUGGGGAAUUUUGGACAAUGGGCGAAAGCCUGAUCCAGCCAUUCCGCGUGCAGGAUGAAGGCCCUCGGGUUGUAAACUGCUUUUGUACAGAACGAAAAGGUUUCCACUAAUACUAGGAGCUCAUGACGGUACUGUAAGAAUAAGCACCGGCUAACUACGUGCCAGCCGCCGCCGUAA
This 500-nucleotide ribosomal RNA is filed under the name uncultured bacterium. RNAcentral's name for it is "partial 16S ribosomal RNA". It matches the Rfam family "Bacterial small subunit ribosomal RNA", at positions 30 to 523 of the family's 1533-position model. The record is from RNAcentral.